UUACCCAUUCUUUACAAUCUCUUUCAGAAGAUAGAAGCAGAGGGAAAAUUUCCUAACUCGUUCUAUGAGGCCAGCGUCACCCUAACACCAAAACCAGACAAAGAUGUUGCAAGAAAAGAAAACUACAGACCAAUAUCUCUCAUAAACACAGAUGUAAAAAUGCUUUAAAAAUUAGCAAAUGAAAUCCAACAAUGUAUAAAUUAUAUACCAUGACCAAGUGUAAUUUAUCGAAGGCAUGCAAGUUGGAGUCAGCAUUCAAAAAUCAGUUAAUGUAAAUGUAAUGUAAAAGUAAUGUAAAGUUAAUGUAAAACCUAUCACAUCAACAGACUAAAGAAGAAAAAUCACAUGGUCAUCUCAAUAAAUGCAGAAAAAGAAUUUGACAAAAUUCAAUGCCCACUUAUAGUUAAAAAAACACAAAAAACAAAAAACCACUCAGUGAACUAGGAAUAGAGGAGAACUUCCUCAACUUGAUAAAGAAUAUCUGUAAGAAACCUAUAGCGAACGUCACACUUACUGGUGAGAGACUCGGAGCUUUUUUACCACUAAGAUCAGGAGCAAGUCAAGGAUGUUCCCUCUCACCAUGCCUUUCAACACUGUACUGAAAGUCCUAGCUAAUACAGCAAGACAAGAAGAGGAAAUACAAGGUAUACAGAUGGAAAGGAAUAAGUAAAACUGUCUUUGUUCACAGAUGACAUGAUUGUCAAUCUAGAAAAUCAAAAUGAAUCAACCAAAAACUGUUGGAUCUAACAAGCAAUUACAGCAAGGUUGCAGGAUUUAAGGUUCAUGUAUAAAGGUCAAUUGCUUUCCUAUACACCAGCAAUAAACAAGUGGAAUUUGAAAUUAAAAACACAAUAUCAUUUGUACCAGCACACCCAAAAGAUGAAAUACUUAAGAGAUAAAUCUAACAAAAUAUUUACAAGCAUUAUUUGAGAAAAACUACAAAAUGCUGAUGAAAGAAAUCAAAGAACUAAAUAAAUGAAGAAUAUUCUAUGUUCAUAGAUAGGAAGACUCAAUUAUUGUCAAGAUGUCAGUUCUUCCCAACUGGUUCUAUCGAUUUCAUACAAUGUCCAUCCCAGCAAGUUACUUUGUGUAAAUCAUGAUACACACUGAUUCUAAAAUUUAUAUGCAGAGGCAAAAGACCCAUAAUAGCCAAUCCAGUAUUGAAGGAGAAAAACAAAGUUGGGUGACUGACACCACCCAACUUCAAGACUUACUAUAAAGUUAUCAAGAUGAUGUGGUAUUGGCAAAAUAAUAGACAAAUAGAUCAAUGGAACAGAAUAGAGAGACCAGAAGUAGACCCACAUAAGUAUAACUGAUGGAUCUUUGGCAAAGGAGUGAAGUCAAUACUAUGGAGAAAAGAGAGUCUUUUCAACACAUGGUGCUGGAACAACUGGACAUGCACAUACAACAAAGUGAAUCUGGACACACACUUUACACCACCCACAAGAAGUAAUACAGUGGACCACAGACCUAAACAUAAGAUGUGAAACUGGGAAACUCCUAGAAUAACACAGAAGAAAAUUGAGAUGACUAGGUUUUGCAAUGGCUUUUAGAUACAAGACCAAAGCCACUAUCCAUGAAAGAAAGAAUUGAUAAGCCAGGCUUCAUUAAAAUUAAGCAUUUCUGCUGCGUGAAAGACACUGUCAUGAGAAUGAGAAGGUAAGCUACACACUGGGAAAAAAACAUUUGCAAAAGACAUAUCUGUUAAGGAAUUGGUGUUCCAAAUUUACAAAGAACUCUUAAAACUCAACAGUAAGAAAAAGAAACUGGGCUGGCAUGGUGGCUCCCACCUGUAAUCCCAGCACUUUGGAGGCUGAGGCGGGCAGAUCACCUGAGGUCAGGGGUUCGAGACCAGCCUGGCCAACAUGGUGAAACCCCAUUGCUACGAAAAAUACAAAAUUAGCCGGCUAUGGUGGCGGCUGCCUGUAAUCCCAGCUACUCAGGAGGCUGAGGCAGGAGAAUCACUUGAACCCAGGAGGCAGAGGUUGCAGUGAGCCGAGAUUGCGUCAUUGCACUCCAGCCUAGGCGACAAGAGCGAAACUCCAUCUCAAAAAAAAAAAAAAAGAAAAAAGAAAAAAA
Molecule: long non-coding RNA, 2079 nt
Filed under: Macaca fascicularis (crab-eating macaque)
Lineage: Eukaryota; Metazoa; Chordata; Mammalia; Primates; Cercopithecidae
Description: lncRNA (ENSMFAG00000060463.1)
Source: RNAcentral